This is a long non-coding RNA of Equus caballus (horse), 10801 nucleotides long. The record is from Ensembl. NCBI's taxonomy places the organism in Eukaryota, Metazoa, Chordata, Mammalia, Perissodactyla, Equidae.
UAACAGCCAAAACUAUAAAACUCUUGGAGAACAAAAGAGUAAAUUUUUGUGACCAUGGGUUAGACAAUUGUUUCUUAGAUAUGACAUCAAAUACACAUACAACAAAUAAAUAAAUAAAUUGGACUUCAUCAAAAUUAGAAGCGUUUGUUGUUCAAAAGACACCAGCAAGAAUGUAAACAAACCACAAAAUGGGAGAAAAAAUUUGCAAAUACUAUGUCUGAUAAGGGAUUUGUAUCCAGAACACAUAAAAAACUCUUAUAACUCAUCUGUCACUUCCAUCUUAGGUUUUCAAGUUAUGGUCCUAAGCCCCUUUCCUACAUCCGUCUUAAAAUAUCAUGUCCAGAAGUUCAGGAAUAAGAUGAGAUUAUUCCAAGCCACGCUCAUUUAGGCACCUUGAAAAUAGGUUUUUACUUACUUUUCCUAACCAGCCUUUAAAGUUAGGCAACAUUUUACAAAUUGAACUCAGAGAGGCUAAGCUCUUGUCCAAGGUCACACAGCUGUGAAGUAACAGACCCAGGAUUUGAAACCAUGUCUGGUUUUAUUUGUCAUUCCUGACCUGAAUUAAUUAAUAGACUAGAAAUCCUCCAUUCCUUCAACAUUGUAGACAAACAAGGAUUCGCUACAUGAGCUGGAAGGAGUCUACGGAGGAGCUAAACUUCUCCAAGCAGCUGGAGGUUGUUAAUCUCAGCGAUGGACGUUAGUCUGAGGCCAGGCUUAUUUGUUAUAAUUAGAAGUCCUUAAAAUUUCAGAAGGGCUCCUUGUGUGCUGAGCUGGCUGCUCUUUCUCAAAAGUGAAAAGCAAACCUUUCAUUUCAUUUUACUUUAUUCUGUUUUUCUUACUACAGUGAGGUAGUGUCUGGGUGAGAACAUUCCUUCACUUCUCCUUCCUUCUCCCAGAGCACCCUUUUCACAAAAGCCUUUUAACUCUGGCAUUUUUCAAAAACUUGGCAGUCAUUUCGAGUAGAGCAUAAAAUUAGCCUUUUAGGCUGAAUGAUAUUUUUUUCCAAAAACUUCUGGAGCGAUUGCACUAUUUGGCGGUGAGUUGAGAACAGGGAACGUGUACCCGCCCUCGAUUUGGAGGCGCAUCCCCUCAGCCUGCUGGUCCCCUCCGCCUACCGGUCCUGGGCGCGCAGGGGGAGCCAGCGGCCCUUGCAGACUCCAGGCUGCUGGCCGUUGAAGUCAUAAAGCAGGCAUUGUUUGACAGGGUGGCUGGAAGCAGGGCUGUCUCAAGUCGAGCUAUGACAACCGACAAGACUGUGGAAAACAGUCAACAAAUUGCAACCGUCCUCCAGAGACUUCCUGAAUUCCCUCGGAGAUUACCUUCUUGAGAACAAAACAAAUGUCUACAACAAGUUUCCAGCUAAAAACUGCAUCUCCUUUUCCAAAGUGGCUGAAGAUGACUACAUGACACAAUUUGAGAACUUCUUGAACUUCUUGUUAUGUGAGAAAAAAAAUAAACCCCUAACUUGUUUAAGCUACCAUUAUACUGAUUUUCUGCUAUGUGCUGCUAAGCUCAAUCUCUAAGUGACACAGUCAUCAAAAGGAAGCAAAGCAUAGUGUAAAAGUCUUAGACUUCUAGUGUAAGACCUCUUCAUUGGCCUUCUGGCCCCACUUCUUCCCUAUCAAGUCUCCACAUUUUAGCCAGAGUCGUCUUUCCAAUGCCUUGUUUAAAAUCCUUCAGCAGACUUUCUCUGCCCUGAAGAUUAAGUCCCAAACCCUUGUUGUAAUUAAAAGUCCCUCCUGGAUCUGGCCCCUGCCCACAUGUGCAUCCUCAUCACUCGUCUCCUUGCCUCUCUCGUUUCCAGCCACACCCAUCUUCUUGCUACUCCAAUGCACUACAUGGUCCUUUGGCUUUUCCUUCUGAUAUGCUGUUCUUCUGCUUGCAGCAUUCUCCCCAUCAUGAUCCCCUCUUUGAAUAUCAAAAUAAAUGGAACACUACUUACAGAUCUCUAAGACUGGCUUCUUUCGUGUCACUAUGACUACCUCCCUUGAUAACUUGCAAUUACUUUCUCAAUGUCUUGCCCACUAGACUAUAGACUCAGUGAGAGUAUGGGCCCCAUCUGUCUUGUUUAUCAUCAUAUCCCCAACACUUGUUUAGUUUGGUGUUUGCCAUAAAGCAAGCAUUCAGCUCAUAAUAUGAGUGUAAACUUGAGCAAGUCUUCUGUUUUGUCUCAGAGUUUGCUUUUGGGAGAAACCCAAAUUAAGGUUUCAAGUGCAAAUAGUUUAUUUGGAAAGUGAUCCUAGGAAAAGUGAGGGGAGUGGGGAAAUGAGACAGAGAAGGAAACAAAGCAAAUAAGGAGGAUGUUAUCAAGCAAUUUCUGAUUGUGGGUACUGUGGCACUGUGGAGAAGAGCUUAUUCCACUGAGGAACUUGAAGAGAUAUGCCUGAGGGGUGAGGGAGGUGGAGCGUGAAGCCAUCAGCUCACACCAGGCAUUGGUUGAGGGCUGCUAGAUGAGGGUAGGGGUGGCAAUAGCUCCCCAGCACUGCUGGUCUGCUUGGCAUGCAGACAGAACUUAUCUGCCAAAGAAAAGUAGGCCUUCAGGGAGAGAGCUUGGAUGCUGGCAACUGGAAGUGAGACGGUGCCCAAAGUGCUGAUGGGGUAAGAGUGGGCGCCCACGGUGUCUGCCACAUCACUUCUCUCGACCAAGCCUCAUCACCCAUAGAACGCACAUGACAACUACUUAGAUAUUUCUGCAUAUUGAAUGAGUUAUUCACUCUGUUUGGAACACUAAUCCCCUGAUAAAUCUUUAAUCAAAUAGUAUUGUUCCAUGUAGUUUUAUUUCCCUUGAAGUUGGAGCAUCUAUUUCUUCUUAGGUUAAAAUUGUAACGUCAUUUUUAUCAUGCACAAAUAAGGCCCUGAUAAAUCACCUGGAGAGAAGACCUGAUGGGGAUUAUUAGAUAGGUGUCACUUUGUUUACUAGUUUGGAGUUGUUACAAGUGGGAAAAGGUCUGGCCCAGGCAUGGUGCAGGGAGACUAGAGACAGGGUUUCCAGUCAGGUAGAUACAAUGUCUAUUCUGCCCAGCUACAAACUUGGGGAAAUCUAGGCAGGUAAUUGACCUCUCCUCCUCUAUAAAAUAAAGAUGAUAAUUCCUAUCAUGCGUAUUUAUUAAGAACAUUUAUGUGGCAAGCAGCAAAGAUUAGAUGAUUGAGAAAUGUAUGACAGUAUAGAAAUAGAGGUUUGGGGUUAGAUUAUGUGGGUUCCUAUUCCAGCUACAGCACAUUCAGAACAUCUCCAAAUCUAAGCGUCAGUUUCCACAUCUGUUUAAAGAUCAUAAUAAUAGUAUUGCUUCAUUAUUUUGUUUUAAAGAUAAAUGAAGUACAUUUUAAAAAGUUCCUGGCAUUGAGAAAAUACUCAAUAAAGGUUAGUUGUAAUUAUUUUCAUUAGUAUAUUAGCAUUACUGUUAUUACUAUUUUUCAAACAAUAAUUUCCAUACAGUUUUCACCAAGUGUGCAACUUUAUUCUCGCAAUCUUUACCAAAAAAUGAACACAUCCUUUGAGAGUAAGCUGUGGUUUCCAUUUUUCAUACCAAAUUCUAUUUGCAGAUUCAAGUACUUUGGGGUUUUUAGUCAUUUGGCAAGUUUCAAUUUAGAAGGGGGCCUGGGGCGUCAAAUGAUCCAUACAGAAAGAAUGGGUGAUAAUUUGGUGUUCAACCUUAAAGCUUCUAUCUUUCAUUCAUCUUGGAUCUCCCUACUUCCAUCACUAUCAUGCUGAUGUCUGGAUCUAAAUGAAAUAUUGCCAUAAAUUAUACCGGCUAACCAGGAGUCAUCAGUCCUCUGUUGAGGGUCAAGUCACUAAAUGGUAAAAUUGAUAAUAGUCCUUGCUGGCUUCGCCCAAAUCACUUCUCAACUCCAAUAAGUGUUGGGCUAGCACAUUUACACAUUACCCUGAGACACCUCUAAGUUACUUUAGCCUUAAGGUGCAGAGCUGACAUAUUAACAAGGAUGCCUUUUGCAUUUAGGCUAUCAGAAGUCUCCUUUCAACCAUGACUUUAAUUGUCGAUUACAGAUGGAAGUCAAGUUUGCAGGAAGCAGAACGUUCAUGCAUAAGGAGGGCUAAAAGUUCAAUGCAUUUUCUAUGAGAGGCACGAUGUUGCUUUUAAAGAUCAAACUCUGCUCAGAUUUGUCACGGCAUUUUAGAACUUGAAGGGAUCUAAGAGGUCUUCUAGUUAUAAUUGCCUUCGCUUACAGAUGAAGAACAUCAAACUCAGAGAGGUUAAUUGAUUGCCCAAGGUCAUAUAUAGCAGUGCUUUUCAAACUUUAACGAGAGUAAGAAUCACCUGAGGGGAUCUCAUUACAAUGCAGAUUCUGAUUCAGUAGGUCUGGAGUGGGACCUGAGAUUCUGCAUUUCUAUGAGCUUCCAGGGGAUGCAGCUGCUGCUGGUCCUUGGACCACUCUGUGAGUAGUAAGGAUAUUCCAUGAGAGGAAUAGUCCAUGAGGGGAAUAGGAAGUCAGGAUUGUUUGACACUCAAUUUAUUCUUUUAUUUUACCACCUGGGGAUUAUCCCUUGUUGCUGAAACCACAGAAGCUUAGAAUGAGGGCGGUCAUUAGUCUCCUGGGGAGGAGUGGUAUGCUUUUCAAUUAACCAGAGUCUGAACUUGCAAAAUGUUCAAGUAAACUGUCAACAAAUAGAUUGAUUAGUCAAUUUGAAUGUCAUCAAAGUGCCGAAGCAUUGUAUGGUGGAUACUACGAUGUGUCACACAGAAGAACUAAGUUUCGGAAGAAAGAACGAAAUCCUUCAGUUACAGAACUGCCAACAGAGCCCUCUGGUUCUGGUCCCCUGUAAAAGUGGCUUCAGCUCAAGAGAACCCCAGGGUCAUGCCUUUUCCCAGGGUGGUCUGCAUCCAAUGACUGAUCCAUGGGUGCACCAGAUGGUCAUUUUUUCUGGUCUCUAAUUAUGUCAUUGGAAUAAACUUCUGUUAUUGGUUGAAAUGUGACCUCUCCAAGUUCAGGUGUUGAAGUCCUAACCUCCAGCACCUCACAUGUGACUGCAUUUGGAGAUAGGGCUUUUAAAGAGGUAGUUAAGUUAAAAUGAGAUCAUUAGGGUGGGUCCUAAUCCAAUAUGACUGGUGUCCUUAUAAUAAGAGGAGAUUAAGACACGAAACACACAGAGGGAAGAUCAGAUGAAGACACAGGGAGGAGAUGGCAACCUGCAAGCCAAGGAGAGAGAGACUUCAGUAGAAACAACCAUGUUAACACCUUGGUCUCAGACUUCCAGUCUUCAGAACUUUGAGAAAAUAAAUUCCUAUUGUUUAAGCCCCCCAGUCUGUGAUACUUUAUUACAGCAGCCCGAGCAAACUAAUACAACAUUCCUAGUAGUUGUCACAGCUUCCACAUUAAUCCCUUGGCUUGUGGGGUGAGAACUUUUGUAACAGAGAAUGUCAAGUGGAAGUAUCUGAAACUGCCUACUCCUAAAACAGUACAUAUAAAACAAUAUUACAUACCAGGGGAGUGGCAGAAAUAGCAUCACCCUUAAAUACUUAAAAGAUGCAGGGAUGGUGGUCCCUUCUAUUUCACAAAUAAUUUCCCAGACUGGUUCCUACAAAACCCAGCCAGAUCCUGGAGGGUGACAGUAGCCUACUGCUAACUCAUCCAAGAAGUAGUCCCAAUUAUAGCUGCUGGGCCACAUGUGGGAUAUUUACCAGAACAAGUCAGCAUGUCUCUAGGUACAUGGCAUGUGACCAUCAAUUUGGCUAAUCCAUUCUUAUUCCAAUCAGAAAGAGGAUCAGAAGGAGUGGCAUUCACUGGCGUAGAGAGCAGUGUAUAUUUCCUGUCCUGUCCAGGGCUAUACUAACUCAUCCACCCUCUGUUGUAAUAUGUAGUCUUAUUAUGAAGAGUCCAGGACCUUAGCAUGAACGUCCAGAGUUGGAUAUUAUGCACAACAUCACACUAACCUACAAAGUUGAUGACAUCCUAAUCAGAUCGAAUGAGCAAGAUGUGGUUAGUGCAUUGGAAACCUCGAUAAGAUCCAUGCACUCCAGUAGGCAGGAGACAGAUUCUUCAAAGAUCCAAGCCUGCCACUCCUCAGUUGUUCCUUUUCAGUCAAGGCAUGGGAAGAAAAGAGCUGGAACAUACGUUUACAUCUAGAAUUCUCAGCCCCACAGAAAUUCUCUCAUUGUACAAUGAAAACAAUGGCUUUAUUUUAUUCUGUCUUCCCAUGAGCUUCGAACCACAUGAGAACCUGACUAACCAUGACUGAGCUGGGCUCUUGCAUUUUCUUCCUGUUACCAAACUCAGCAAACUUUAGCAGGUCCAUUUGAUGUUAACUGUUGUUGCUGAACAAAUCCUUAGAGUGCCCUCUAUGUCUCAAGCUCAAUUAAAGAAAGCCAUCUUAUAAUACCAGAGCCUAACGAACACCUGAAUUUAAUUCUAAUGGCACUGUUUUGAAGAUAAAAUAAGUUAAUACAUACUAAAUUCUUAGAACAAUUUCUAACACAUUUAUUUCUCAAAAAGAUUAAUUAUUAAUAUUAAUUUUCCUUUUUUACAGGUAAACUCACAAAAGUAAUCCCAUAAUUUUGGGCUUGUCCUUCUAGGACACACAGAAUCAUUGUGAGUUACAGAUCAUAAGAGAAAAUUUGGGGAAAACUAGCCUAGCAGAGAGCACAGAAAGGACAUUAGAUGGGAAAAAGACUUGGCCUAGAUCAGUGUUGCUUAACCUUGGCUCUACUGACGUUUGGACCAGAUAAUGUUUUGUCAUAGGGCACUGCUGUUUUGAUUGUAGGAUAUUUAGUAGCGUCUAUAUUCCCUAGUAGCAACUCUUCAGUUAUUACAACAAAAAUAUCUCUAGACAUUGCCAAAUGUGCCCUCAGGGGUAAAGUUGCCCAUGGCUUGGAACCACUGGACUAGAUGGAAGGAGGGAUAUGCUUGAGUUGGGGCAGGAACAGAGGAACUGGUGAUAAAAGAUAUUGUAAGGAGGGAUGGGGGAAAUUGGUGGUUGAUUAAAGAGGUCAAAGAAAAAAGGAAUCGAAGAUGAUCCCAAGUUUUGUGUUUGUUCCCAGAAUACUUGGGGUAAUGGUGACAAUGUAUAUAGAAAGGAACCUGGUUUAUGGAAGAAGCAGGCAAGCUUUGGUUUUUUAUUUUCCAAUCCAAAAGUCUUGGGGGGUAAUAACUACCACUUAUUUUUGUGCCAGGUAGUUUUGCAUACAUUAUCUCAUUUAAUAUCCUUGACUACCUGGUGAGGCAAGUCCUUCUUUUCCUUCGUCUGUACACAUUAUGAGAUUCUGAGACUGAAGUGACCUUCCCAGGGUCACAGGGCUGUUAAGUGGUCGAGCAUGAUUUGGACCCAUAUGUACUGACUUCAAAAUCCGGGCUUUGUCCCUUGCCCUUUGCUGCCUUCAUAGGGUACAGAAAUGAGUUCUGGGAGAAGUUGAUUUGGAAGUUACCAAAUCAGCAUAAAGGAUGAGAGAGGCUCACUUUUCCCAGUCAGUGAGGGCAACAGAAUUACAUUGCCUUGGAUUUGUCUAUAGUCAGCUAAAGCGGCGCCAUGACAGCUGCGUGACUACAGUCCCAAAGAGGUUCUCUCUUACAUCUGGCCUUUUCCAGCAAGCAGACAACUCCAAGGCAUCUGACAUCCCAUGCACACACACCAGCAGUGAACCCUGUGCCUGUAUUUGUUCACCUUUAAACAGAAGGCUGAUUUUGGCAGCUGGGUGCCAAGUCCGCCUCCAAGGGGCUGUUACUCAUGUGCUCUCUUCAAGAGCAGCAUUCUUUUCAGCCAUGUUAACAUUGCUUUUCUCAUAUCUUAGAGCAGGUGAAUCAGGCGGGAAGGAUGGACCAGAGAUGGGCAUUAGACCAGUGAGCAAAGCAAUGUGGGCGUCCCAGCUGCUAGCAUGAGGUUAUUUUUCUUGAGAAUCGCACUGCAUGUGUUAGGUCUCAACAUGCCUGCUUAGAGCAAAACUUAGAAGUAACAGCUAACCCAAAGACAACCCUUCUGCAGACAGUGAUUCAAAAGCCAAAAGGUAUAUAGUGACAGAUACACAAGACGUCUCAGAAAGGAUUCGCAAUAAAUUGUUAACAGUGGUUGCCUCUGGAGAGAAUCAGCAGAGAAGAAGGUCAACACAACUGAAGUUUUCACUGUAUAUAUUUUUUGAACAUUUGAAUUCUUCACCAUGUGAAUGCAUUAUUUGAAAAAGAAGUACAUUGUGAUACAAAUUGCUAGAGUGGUACCCCUUGGGGUAUGGGUCAUGAGCAGAAGGGGGCAUGAGAGGGUCUUCUGAAGGCACUCUUAGUGUUCUGUUUCUUGAGUUGGGCAUCGGUUAGCCGGAUGUAUUCACUUUGAAAAUUCAUCACGCUGUCCACUGAUGUGCACUCCUCCCCAAGCAUGUUAUAUUUUAAUAAAACAUUCAAUGUGUUUGAAAAGGUAAACAAGCAAAAAAAAAGUCUAUAAGAGUCAAUUUGGUAGACUGGGUGAUUCAUUCAUUUAUGCAUUGAUUUAGUUAAAAAAAAAACCAAAAAUGUAUUUCUUGCAUUUACUUUGUGAUGCGACCUGAGAAUGUAAGAGUGACUAAGGCAAGCUCCCUCUGCUUGCGAAGACCUAGCCUUGUGAUGGAGAAAGGAGGUUCUAUUACCUUGAAGCAGGGCUGCGGGUGUUAGUUUCCUACUGCUGUGCAGCUAUUCCCACACACUUUGUGUCUUAAGACAACACAAAGUUAAUAUCUUACUCUGCUGAAGGUUAGAAGUGCAGCACAGUCUCACUGGGCUAAAACCACAGGGUGUUCCUUUUGGAAGCUCUAUGGGAAAACCUGCUUCCUUGCCUCCCCCAGCAUCCAGAGGCUGCCCACAUUCCAUCUUCAAACCCGUCACUCCAACCUUGGCUUCCGUUGUCACAUUGCCUUUUUCUGGCUGUGUAUCACUUUCUUCCCUCUUUUCCUUCUUUCACGUGGUGGGUGAUUCUGCUGGACCCUCCAGGAAAAUCCAGGAUUAUCUCUCCAUCUCAAGAUCUUUAACUUAAUCACAUUUGUACAGUCCCUUUUGGCGUGGAAGGUGAUAAAUUCAAAGGUUCUGUGGAUCAGUAUGAGGACAUCUUUGGGGAUGUCAUUCUGUUACUAGAGAUUGAAUGUUUAUGUCUUCCCCAAAUUCAUAUGUUAAAACAUUUCUCCAGUGUGAGGGUAUCAGGAGACGGGGCUUUGAGAGGUGAUUAGGUCAUGAGUGUGGAGCCCACGUGAAUGGGAUCAGUGUCCUUGCAAAGGAGACUACAGAGAGCUCCUUGCCCCUUCCAUCAUGUGAGGACACAGUGAGAAGAUGGCAUCUAUGACCCCGGAUUGGGGCUCUCACCAGACACCAAAUCUGCCGGUGCCUUGGUCUUAGACCUCCCAGACUCCAGAGCUGUGAGAAAUAAAUUUCUGUUAUUGUUAGCCACCCGUCUAUGAUAUUCUGUUUUAGCAGCUUGAACGGACUAAGACAUCUAACACAGUGUAUGAUAUAAGUGCCUCAAGGUAAACGGAAUUUGAGGGGGAAGCAGCCAGAGUAGUCACCAUGGGGCGUGAGUGGGGAUGGGAGGCAGCAGAUAGCAGGUAACACUUCAGGGGACCUGAGGGAAGGGCAAGAAUUCAGGUGGGAACGGGUGUGCAUCAGAGCCCCGAGGGAUGCCAGAGAUGGGAAAGAACACACGCAGGCUGGGGUUAGAGUGUUGUCCAAUCCCCGUGAAGGGUUUUCCUAGGGAAGCAGCCUUGAACUAAACCUGAAUGAGAAAAACGAGUGUGGGAGUAGCAUUUCAGGCAGAAGGAUCAGCUUGUGCACAAACCAAUGGGGGAAGAGGAGACAGCGCAGUUCGUAUAAGAAGCUGAUGGGCACCAUGACAGCCUGGUUCAAGAAGGAGAGUUAGAAGGAAAUGUCAGGAUGAAGACCUCAAUGCCUUUUCUACAGCCUGGAAGAUGCUUCACCUUCUGGUUCUGCUCCAGACCAAAUGGUCUGCUCCAUUUGUCUCAACUUUUAAGUGAAAUGGGAAGCCCCAAAGGACUCUCAGCAGAGGAGGACAUCUCCCAGGGAUCAAAGCCUCAAGCUUAGGAAGACAAGAGGUCCAGAGGCAGCCAGUCCAGGGCUGGGGAAGACAUUGGAUGAUGCUGUCAAGGGGUCAGGAUCUUCUACUCUUGUGGUGCCAUCUUCAGCUGGUGGUUCUCCUCAUGGCCCCUGGAGAGCUGCCGCCCCUUUGGACAUUACAUCUGCAUUCCAGAAGGAAGAAGAAAACAGGGCAAUGCGUGAAAGGGCACACCGGCUGACUUUCCCUUUCUGCCAUGUGAGUGAAAGCUCUCCUGGAAGUUGCAACCAGAAUUUUCCUACUGGCAUCUCACUGACCGAAACGAUGCUCCAUAACGACCUCAGGCUGGAAGGGGGUUUUCCCACUCACUUGAACAUAUAAUCUUUACUAUGUGAUAAAUUCUGGACUUCUGCUGGAGAAGGCCAUCGAGAGGACAUGACUGCCGAUCAACCCUCAAGCUGGACCUGGGCAAUCCUCACCCUCCUCUGUCCUUGGAAUGUAUGUUCUGCCCACUGUUCCCCCAUGGGAGCCAUUUUCAAGGAUGCAGCUUUGAGAGAGCAAUGUGUUGUUGAGAUCAUCUGGAAGGUGUGUGUGACUGACCCCGUUAAAGCCUCUAUGUAAACUUUUAAGAUUCUGGCUGGCAGGUGUGGAGAUCGAUUCAUCUUGCAGCCGCCCAAGACAAGUCUCAUAGGUCAAUUCCCUUGCUGAUUAAACCUGCCACCUUCCAGUCUGGAGUGGCUGCCUCUUUCUGUGGUCUCUCCUUGCCUUCCAUGUACGGGGGGGCCAGUUUCAGAUUUCACCAAGGGAACUCCUGAUGUUACAAACCAG